This 608-nucleotide ribosomal RNA is filed under the name Mongoliana sp. ISS-T87. RNAcentral describes it as "SSU rRNA". It matches the Rfam family "Eukaryotic small subunit ribosomal RNA", at positions 1175 to 1787 of the family's 1831-position model. Lineage: Eukaryota; Metazoa; Arthropoda; Insecta; Hemiptera; Issidae. The record is from RNAcentral.
AGUGGAGCCUGCGGCUUAAUUUGACUCAACACGGGAAAACUCACCAGGCCCGGACACCGGAAGGAUUGACAGAUUGAGAGCUCUUUCUUGAUUCGGUGGGUGGUGGUGCAUGGCCGUUCUUAGUUGGUGGAGCGAUUUGUCUGGUUAAUUCCGAUAACGAACGAGACUCUAGCCUACUAACUAGGCGUACCCGGUAUCCACAAUCGUGCUACCGGCGAUCAUAUUUCUUCUUAGAGGGACAGGCGGCUUCUAGCCGCACGAGACUGAGCAAUAACAGGUCUGUGAUGCCCUUAGAUGUCCUGGGCCGCACGCGCGCUACACUGAAGGAAUCAGCGUGUCUUCCCUGUCCGAAAGGACCGGGUAACCCGCUGAACCUCCUUUGUGCUAGGGAUUGGGGCUUGCAAUUGUUCCCCAUGAACGAGGAAUUCCCAGUAAGCGCGAGUCAUAAGCUCGCGUUGAUUACGUCCCUGCCCUUUGUACACACCGCCCGUCGCUACUACCGAUUGAAUGAUUUAGUGAGGUCUUCGGACUGGUGCGCGGAGGCCGCUUUCGUGGUCUCCGAUGUUGCCGGAAAGAUGACCAAACUUGAUCAUUUAGAGGAAGUAAAA